RNAcentral lists this ribosomal RNA (553 nucleotides) under uncultured bacterium. Its description in RNAcentral is "bacterial SSU rRNA". It matches the Rfam family "Bacterial small subunit ribosomal RNA", at positions 118 to 705 of the family's 1533-position model. The record is from RNAcentral.
UGGGAACGUGCCUUUCGGUUCGGAACAACCCAGGGAAACUUGGGCUAAUACCGGAUACACCCUUACGGGGAAAGAUUUAUCGCCGAAAGAUCGGCCCGCGUCUGAUUAGCUAGUUGGUGAGGUAAUGGCUCACCAAGGCGACGAUCAGUUGCUGGUCUGAGAGGAUGAUCAGCCACACUGGGACUGAGACACGGCCCAGACUCCUACGGGAGGCAGCAGUGGGGAAUAUUGGACAAUGGGCGCAAGCCUGAUCCAGCCAUGCCGCGUGAGUGAUGAAGGCCCUAGGGUUGUAAAGCUCUUUCGGCGGGGAAGAUAAUGACGGUACCCGCAGAAGAAGCCCCGGCUAACUUCGUGCCAGCAGCCGCGGUAAUACGAAGGGGGCUAGCGUUGCUCGGAAUCACUGGGCGUAAAGCGCACGUAGGCGGGAUUGCUAAGUCAGGGGUGAAAUCCUGGAGCUCACMUCCAGAACUGCCUUUGAUACUGGCGAUCUUGAGUCCGGGAGAGGUGAGUGGAACUCCGAGUGUAGAGGUGAAAUUCGUAGAUAUUCGGAAGA